RNAcentral lists this transfer RNA (49 nucleotides) under Pseudomonas sp. RNAcentral's name for it is "tRNA-Lys". It matches the Rfam family "tRNA", at positions 1 to 47 of the family's 71-position model. Rfam says of the family: Transfer RNA (tRNA) molecules are approximately 80 nucleotides in length. Their secondary structure includes four short double-helical elements and three loops (D, anti-codon, and T loops). Lineage: Bacteria; Pseudomonadati; Pseudomonadota; Gammaproteobacteria; Pseudomonadales; Pseudomonadaceae. The record is from RNAcentral.
GGGUCGUUAGCUCAGUUGGUAGAGCAGUUGGCUUUUAACCAAUUGGUCG